UCAGUGAGUGCAUGUCA
Molecule: non-coding RNA, 17 nt
Filed under: Mus musculus (house mouse)
Lineage: Eukaryota; Metazoa; Chordata; Mammalia; Rodentia; Muridae
Source: RNAcentral